AUGGACAAAAUAAACUGCAUUUUGCUUACUGUCUUCAUUGUCAUAACCGUUUCCUGCAAUUAUGGCGAUGCACUGAUAUGUUAUAACUGUGAGCAAAGCCCAUUCCUGUGUAGGUCGAAUGUCACUUGUCGUGGAGAUGAAGAUACCUGCUUACAAAUCAGAUAUUUAAAUUUGAGAACCUAUAGCUGUUGGAAAACAUCACGCUGCACUGCCCGUGAGGUUGCUGAGCACUUUGAUGCUGACAGUUUUCGAUUCCUUUGCUGCCACAGAGAUUUCUGCAACAACGCUCCAAGCAUCUUGUUCCGUUCGGCUCCCCUUGGUAUUUCUGCAGUGACUGCGAUUUGGAUGAAAUACCUGUGACACAGAUAUUUAAAGAAAUGUGUUCUCUGUAUAACACAUCCAAUGAUUCGCACUUUUGAGUUGGUAUGUCUAUUGCAAUUAUUUGCAGAAGGGUCAACUUGUCUUCAAAAAGAAAAAGGCAAAGAUACAUUAGAGAACAACAGAAGGAAGACUGGCAUGUUAAGUUGCUUCUUUAAAAAUAAGUAAUGUCGAAGUAUUGUAAAUAUGGCAGUUAACCAGAAAAUGCACUCUUGAAUACAAAAAGCUUAUUUUCUACCAAAUAUUCUUAGUUAGUGAUGCUUUGAUAUAUUUUGAAACUGGUCAAUCUUAGAGCUUGGAAGUAACUCACUGAAAAUAACUAGUUAUCCUAAUUUGUAAUUUCAACAAAUUUUUGAAACAGACUACUAAUUAUUUCAAAGUAACAUUUAACUUUUCCAUUAUUUCAAUUCAAGAACAUUUUUAGUAAUUUUAAAUGCAUUUCUAAAUAGUAAUAAUUAACAAACUAUCAAACAUAUCAAUUUUGAAAAAUGCCUUUAAUGAUUUGAGGCUAAUCUAUUAAUGUCGCCUACCUCAGUGAUGUUUAUUUAAUAGCUAUUAGCCUGCUUUAAAUGGCUCCCAUGAUAUCAAUAAACAGAUAAGUAGUUUUCUGUGCACUACCAAGAAUUAAUGUUUGUACUAAUGGGAAAAAUAAUUUCCAUUCUGUAUGGUAAGCCACCACAAAGGAGUGGCAUGCAACAUACAGUUAGCCACCACAGAGUAUGACCUUUAAUUUAAAGCAACCUCUUCUUAACAGAGGGACGAAAAUAAUGUUUCCUCAUUAUUGGCUAUAUCACUUAGGAUUCCUGAAAAUUGCAGUUUAACAUCAAGAGGUCACAUGAUUCCACUCUUUGACUUAAUGGCUAUGAUCCAUAAGUCAUCUUUACCUGUGUGGUGUUUUUCAUCUAUAGGGCUUUGAAGACAACAGAUAAGUAAUUGGCAAUAAAAUCAAAGACAAGUUAAUAAUAACAUGUCAUACUGAGUGUUUGCAUUCACUGUGUGGUGUUUUUCAUCUAUAGGGGUUGAAAUUUGUUUUAUCCAAAAUCCAUUUCUAAUUAAUGUGUAGCCUACAGCUGAUAUUAGAAGAAGCUACAUGAAUGAUAGCUCACUGAUAGAGACAAACAUCUGCAAAGGUUGAAAUUUGUUUUAUCCAAAAUCCAUUUCUAAUUAAUGUGUAGCCUACAGCUGAUAUUAGAAGAACCUACAUGAAUGAUACCAAAG
Molecule: long non-coding RNA, 1596 nt
Organism: Anolis carolinensis (green anole)
Lineage: Eukaryota; Metazoa; Chordata; Lepidosauria; Squamata; Anolidae
Source: Ensembl